AAAUUGAAGAGUUUGAUCAUGGCUCAGAUUGAACGCUGGCGGCAGGCCUAACACAUGCAAGUCGAACGGUAACAGGAAGCAGCUUGCUGCUUCGCUGACGAGUGGCGGACGGGUGAGUAAUGUCUGGGAAACUGCCUGAUGGAGGGGGAUAACUACUGGAAACGGUAGCUAAUACCGCAUAAUGUCGCAAGACCAAAGAGGGGGACCUUCGGGCCUCUUGCCAUCGGAUGUGCCCAGAUGGGAUUAGCUUGUUGGUGGGGUAACGGCUCACCAAGGCGACGAUCCCUAGCUGGUCUGAGAGGAUGACCAGCCACACUGGAACUGAGACACGGUCCAGACUCCUACGGGAGGCAGCAGUGGGGAAUAUUGCACAAUGGGCGCAAGCCUGAUGCAGCCAUGCCGCGUGUAUGAAGAAGGCCUUCGGGUUGUAAAGUACUUUCAGCGGGGAGGAAGGGAGUAAAGUUAAUACCUUUGCUCAUUGACGUUACCCGCAGAAGAAGCACCGGCUAACUCCGUGCCAGCAGCCGCGGUAAUACGGAGGGUGCAAGCGUUAAUCGGAAUUACUGGGCGUAAAGCGCACGCAGGCGGUUUGUUAAGUCAGAUGUGAAAUCCCGGCUCAACCUGGGAACUGCAUCUGAUACUGGCAAGCUUGAGUCUCGUAGAGGGGGGUAGAAUUCCAGGUGUAGCGGUGAAAUGCGUAGAGAUCUGGAGGAAUACCGGUGGCGAAGGCGGCCCCCUGGACGAAGACUGACGCUCAGGUGCGAAAGCGUGGGGAGCAAACAGGAUUAGAUACCCUGGUAGUCCACGCCGUAAACGAUGUCGACUUGGAGGUUGUGCCCUUGAGGUGUGGCUUCCGGAGCUUACGCGUUAAGUCGACCGCCUGGGGAGUACGGUCGCAAGGUUAAAACUCAAAUGAAUUGACGGGGGCCCGCACAAGCGGUGGAGCAUGUGGUUUAAUUCGAUGCAACGCGAAGAACCUUACCUGGUCUUGACAUCCACGGAAGUUUUCAGAGAUGAGAAUGUGCCUUCGGGAACCGUGAGACAGGUGCUGCAUGGCUGUCGUCAGCUCGUGUUGUGAAAUGUUGGGUUAAGUCCCGCAACGAGCGCAACCCUUAUCCUUUGUUGCCAGCGGUCCGGCCGGGAACUCAAAGGAGACUGCCAGUGAUAAACUGGAGGAAGGUGGGGAUGACGUCAAGUCAUCAUGGCCCUUACGACCAGGGCUACACACGUGCUACAAUGGCGCAUACAAAGAGAAGCGACCUCGCGAGAGCAAGCGGACCUCAUAAAGUGCGUCGUAGUCCGGAUUGGAGUCUGCAACUCGACUCCAUGAAGUCGGAAUCGCUAGUAAUCGUGGAUCAGAAUGCCACGGUGAAUACGUUCCCGGCCUUGUACACACCGCCCGUCACACCAUGGGAGUGGGUUGCAAAAGAAGUAGGUAGCUUAACCUUCGGGAGGGCGCUUACCACUUUGUGAUUCAUGACUGGGGUGAAGUCGUAACAAGGUAACCGUAGGGGAACCUGCGGUUGGAUCACCUCCUUA
RNAcentral lists this ribosomal RNA (1539 nucleotides) under Escherichia coli. Its description in RNAcentral is "bacterial SSU rRNA". It matches the Rfam family "Bacterial small subunit ribosomal RNA". The record is from RNAcentral. Lineage: Bacteria; Pseudomonadati; Pseudomonadota; Gammaproteobacteria; Enterobacterales; Enterobacteriaceae.